CAGUCGCCGCGGUAAUACGUAGGUGGCAAGCGUUGUCCGGAAUUAUUGGGCGUAAAGGGCUCGCAGGCGGUUUCUUAAGUCUGAUGUGAAAGCCCCCGGCUCAACCGGGGAGGGUCAUUGGAAACUGGGAAACUUGAGUGCAGAAGAGGAGAGUGGAAUUCCACGUGUAGCGGUGAAAUGCGUAGAGAUGUGGAGGAACAUCAGUGGCGAAGGCGACUCUCUGGUCUGUAACUGACGCUGAGGAGCGAAAGCGUGGGGAGCGAACAGGAUUAGAUACCCCUGUAGUCCCUGUCUCUUAUAA
Molecule: ribosomal RNA, 301 nt
Filed under: uncultured bacterium
Lineage: Bacteria
Description: partial 16S ribosomal RNA
Rfam family: Bacterial small subunit ribosomal RNA
Source: RNAcentral